This is a long non-coding RNA of Cebus imitator (Panamanian white-faced capuchin), 205 nucleotides long. RefSeq lists it as uncharacterized. The record is from RefSeq and is a predicted model, not a curated record. The transcript is spliced from 3 exons. NCBI's taxonomy places the organism in Eukaryota, Metazoa, Chordata, Mammalia, Primates, Cebidae.
UGUUGCUGUUGCUGUGCAGAAGCUCUCUAGUUUAAUUAAGUCUCACUUUUCAAUUUCUGUUUUUGUUAUAAUUGCUUUUGGAGUCUCUAUCAUGAAGUGUUUGCCAGGGCCAAUGUCCAGAACGGAAUUUCCUAAGUUUUCUUCUAGGGUUUUUAUAGUUUUAGGUUUUACAUUUAAAUCUUUAAUCCAUCUUGAGUUAAUUUUU